Long non-coding RNA from Equus caballus (horse), 2610 nucleotides. The record is from Ensembl. Lineage: Eukaryota; Metazoa; Chordata; Mammalia; Perissodactyla; Equidae.
CCCCACCCCCUGUGUAGUUUCGUACAGCUUUGUAAAUAAAUGGCUUUCUUUGCCUUUGCCCCUCACCACCAGUGGUACCGCAACUGAGCUUCAUUUAGGAUGAGAUAGGAGGAGGAGUCAGAGAUGAUAAUGGUGAUGAUGAUGAUAAUAAUAACGGCAGCUAACACUUAGACAGCGCUUACUAGAUGUCUGACAGUUUUCUGGGCUUUUAUAUGUAUAUAAUCUCACAAUCCUCACAACAACCCAGACGGUAGGCACUCUUAUUAUCCCAUUUUGCAGACAAGGGAACCGAAGUAUAAACUUGCCUAAGGCCACACAGAUAAUGAGUUGGGGAAUAGGGACUUGAAUUCAAGCAGUUUGCUCCCAGAGUCCAAGAUUUUAGCCACUGUACUCUACUGCUUCUCGACACUUCCAAACUAGGAUAUGAGCCUAGGAUGGUGCUUCUCAAACUGCGGGUUUGGUUCCCUGGCCUGUGAGAGCAGCUUAGUGAGUGCCACCCAAGGUUAAUGUUUAAAAAAUGGGCUAGAAUAGAAAACAAAAUAUCAAAGCGAUCACAGGCAAUAAUGGAAGUAUUGUUCUAUGGAAAUUGUGUUUCAAUUUUAUAUUUGAGUAUGUGUGUUCUGGGUCACAACAUCAAAUGUAUUUCUUAGUGGGGGUUGCAGUCACUUUGAAAGUCAUUGCCCUGGGAUGAGCCCAGAGACCAGAGCUCCAGUCCAAGGGGCUUUAGGAAGCUGCUGUGCUCGAGAAAGUGAGAGGCUGUGGCCAUGCCAUCCAGAACUGCCUGCUUCUGAGAAGAAAGGAGACCAGUGGCCUCAACUGAGGGUCCUUCCUCACAAAUUUACCCCACCAGUGCCUCCAUCCUUCCUUUGCAAUGCCCAAGGCCAGGAGGAAGGUUCAUUCCCACCACUCUCUUUGACCAAGCGCCGGCAUUUACCAUUCAUGCCCUGAUAACCUGCACUGACUCACGCCUCCAUCCUUCGUGCAUGCAGUGUCCUUGUGUAGGUUGCUCUUCCCUGCCUGGUUGAAUUAGUUCCUACACAUUCUUCUAAACUCAGCUCAGAUAUUAAGUUCCUUGACUCCACCAAUAUUUCUGUACCUCUUAUAUGCUUUCAUUACUGUGAAAUUGUUUGUUUACCUGUCUCUCUCAUCUAUUAGGCUUGAAGUUUGUUUGUUUGUUUUUUUUGCUGGGGAAGAUUCACCCUGAGCCAACAUCCAUGCCACUUUUUUUGUAUGGCCACAGCAUGGCCACUGACAGGCGGUGGCGGCUCCGGGAUCCUGUACAGGAUGGGAUUAGGGGCAGCAGCCCAGUUGAAAGAAAGGCCAGGGUUCUUGUCCAGAAGCUUCAUUUGUGUCGCACUUUCCCGGAGCACUGAAUAUAACCCAGAAAAUACUAUCAACUGCGCAUAUCAAAAAACUGAGGCGGCUGAUCCAGAUUAUGGAGGAGACUAAGACCCAUCACCAAGACGCUCCCUGGGUCCCCAGAUCCCCAGCUCCUGACACUGAAAACUGAAAUCUUGCAUUAUAUGCUCAGCGCGAGGCCAGCUUCCACACAUUAAAAAGCAGUUCCAAGAUUGAAAGAGUCUACAAAACAGAGACACACAUGUGGGGCACUCCUGAAACGACCAAGGCAGUGGUUCUUCAAUUUUCGAUUAAUAUCAAAAUCCCUCUGAGAAUGUGUUACAAUGUUCAUUUCUUUGCUUUGGAUGUUUGUAAGUGAAAAUAAAUGACCAGCCUUAUUAUCAAAGAAAUAUCUUUUGAGGAUGUUGCCUCGGAACCUACAUUUUGACAAGCUGUCCCCUGGGUUUUAGGUUUAGGUUUUAACCAUUCUCCGGGUGAAUCACGACUACAGUUUGAGGAGUUCUGUCCAAUUGAGAACUAAAGCACUGGCAGGAUCUCCAAGGGCAAGAGGAAGGAUAGGUUGCUGUCAGCUGGCGUCAUUGGAGAGGUUGUAACUAGGUAGACAGCACUGAGCGGAGCCUUUAAGGAUGAGCAGACCUUAGCAGAGAGAGAGAAGAGGCAGGCAGGAGGACCAGGCUGUUAAUGUGGGCGAGGGAGCCAUGAACUUUGCGCAGUCGCUGCAGCCACAGAAAUGAAUGAAUUCAUCUUCCAGGAAGGGUACAUGAAGAAAAGGGCUCUUGGGGUUCCCCUGACGAUGUGGCAAGGUGAGGAAGUUGGGCCAAUGAAGGGCAGAGUAACAAAGGCAUACUCUAAAUCCCACAAUCCCAAACCAGUGGUUUUCAAUGGGGCAAGUACCGCCCCCUAGAGGGCAUUUUGGAAACGUGCGGCAGCAAUUUUGGUUAACACAUGGAGCUGGCGCAGCGCUUUCUUUGGAGCUAGAUGUACACCAAGAGAACGUCCCACAUCACGCUCCACUUCUGAAUGUAAAUGAGAAACGUGUUUAUGACAUAAACACGAACUCUCUCCCACCUCCACCCCAGUGUAAAUAUACACUGACUUUUGCAGGAAUGCAGCUCCUGCGCUCUGCGGGUCUCUGGUCUUUGCUCCUUGAUCCAUCUCAGGCCUCUGUGCUCUCUCCUUGGCUUCUGAGUCCGAUUCCUCUCUGUUCAGUCCUCGGGCUUGACUCUUUUCUCCUACUCAGCAUCUUCUCGC